Molecule: long non-coding RNA, 614 nt
Organism: Thunnus maccoyii (southern bluefin tuna)
Lineage: Eukaryota; Metazoa; Chordata; Actinopteri; Scombriformes; Scombridae
Exons: 4
Source: RefSeq, a predicted model, not a curated record
CCACAGGACCUCCUUCAGGACCUUCUUCAUGUGUUUACGCCCCAGACACAUCUGACCAAUGAGUGGAGUGAAUGUUGUGGCUUGUCUUGAUGCAUUUUUGGCUCGGAUUUCUCUUUGUGUGAAAGAGCAAACAAACUAUAGGUGUGAAAAGGCCCUAAGAUAUGAGCAGGGGGAGACCAAAGCGCAGCCAGAAGGAGAGUGAAUAAUGGUCAAAUGGGAUGGGUCAUGUCCAUGUCUGCUGGAGUGUUUGCCAACAUGUUAUCCAUAACCUCUUGAUAAGCAACAGUGUUCAAGAGCCGGUGACUGUGAAGACCAGCGCGUGUGAUUCACAUCAUUUUAAGUGCACCCUUGUGACCUGUGCUCAUAUUUUGCAGUGAUGAUUCAUCUGGCUGUCCUAGCCUCCUGGCCUUGGAAGUGCUCCAACUGUCAGUCACCCAACAUCGUCUGUGUAGAAAAUGAAUGGGACUUUUACUUUCAGAGCCAUGGAGGCUUAAAAUACCUCAUCCAACUUUGCUGGACUAUGAAAAAUCACUAAAAAUGUUAACUUAUAGGAGAUUUAAGAUAGAGAUGCAACAUAUUCAUGUUAAGAUGCUUAAAAAGCAGCACAAUUAAUG